AGUGGGGACCUACAUGCCUCUAACGCCGAAGCAUGAGCAGAGAGUCGAAAGGCAAACUGCCAGGAAAAAAAAUCAAUCCUCUGCCCAAGGUCCAGCAGAAGCGGCCUCAUUUACCUAUAGGAGGCGGGCUUCCUCCUGCGGGGAAUCCCUGGGCUGGGAGGAACAGCAGCCCUUCCUCCUGGCAGCUUCGGAGACUUCAGCAGGUGCUGGCACAGCCCUGGCUGGGACGCGGGGUGGGAGCAGGCCCAGCAUGGGGGCUCAGGGGCAGGAAGCGGGACGCCAGGGCCCGGGAACACGGACACCUGCGUCCUCGGGGCCAGGGAGGAAUCCUACAGUGGCAGGGGCUUGGGCUGUCUCUUUCUCUCUUUGUCCAGAGCCUUAUGUAAGAGCUUUUCUUGGGAAACAGGAAGUCCUGCCUGCCAAGUUCAGCACACAGGGAGUAGUGCAGGCCUUAUUCCAACACACCCGGCCUGGCCUUAACCCCAGAACUCAGCCAGUUUCUUGCUUCCGCGACCCUGGUUCUCCUCCCCACUGACGCCCUCCCCUUCUUUCCCACCUUUGGUCUCUCUCAGCAAACUGCCCCAGAGAUCUCGCCUGUGCCCGGGCCAGAGGGUCUUCCACUCUCACCCCUCGACCCUCAAUGCUGCCCAGCUCGUCCCUCCAUCCCGGCUUCUGGCACCAUGCCCCAUAGCCAGCCAACCUUCCCUCCCCCACUUCUGGGGCCGCCCUGGGGUUCCUGUGCUCUGGCCGCUCCUCCUGGGUGUCACUGGCAGCCCUGUCCUUCUUAGAGAGACUGACAACAAAUUCUCCUGAGGCUGGAGGAGGGUGAGGGGUCUCAGGACAACACUGGCCCCGCAGCGGGGUGCCAGGAGCACCAACAGUGCCCCGAGCUUGCUUUCUGCCUCCCUCCUUUUUAUUCUCAAGUUCCUUUUUAUUUCUCCCUUGCGUAACGCCCUUCUUCCCUUCUGCACCACUGCCUGCACGCCGACCCUCCCCGUCACCUCCUUGCUACCCCACUCCUGAGGCUACAGCUGUUGGCAGGGUCCCCAGCUCAUGCCGACCUCAUCUCCUUCUUUACUAGCCCCCAAAGGGCCCCCGGGAGACAUGGGGGGCCCAGUCCGAGAGCCGGCACUCUCAGUUGCCCUCUGGUUGAGUUGGGGGGCGGCUCUGGGGGCUGUGGCUUGUGCCAUGGUUCUGCUGACCCAACAAACAGAGCUGCAGACCUUAAGGAGAGAGGUGAGCCGGCUGCAGAGGACCGGAGGGCCCUCCGAGAAGGGGGAAGGGUAUCUGUGGCUGAGCCCCCGGGAGCAGAUCCUGGAGGACAGCCAGCACCAAGACUCAGGUUGCUGGGGAAAGAGCUCUGAUGGCGUGGAAGCCCUGGAGAAUGGGGAGAGAUCCCGGAGAAGGAGAGCAGUAAAACAGAAGAAGAAGCGCUCAGUCCUUCAUCUUGUUCCCGUUAACAUCACCUCCAAGGAGGACUCGGAUGUGACAGAGGUGAUGUGGCAACCGGCUCUCUGGCGUGGGAGAGGCCUGGAGGCCCAAGGAUAUGUCAUUCGAGUCUGGGAUGCUGGAAUCUAUCUGCUGUACAGCCAGGUCUUGUUUCAUGAUGUGACUUUCACCAUGGGUCAGGUGGUAUCCCGGGAGGGCCAGGGAAGGCAGGAGACUCUAUUCCGAUGUAUACGAAGCAUGCCCUCCAACCCCGACUGGGCCUACAAUAGCUGUUACAGCGCAGGUGUCUUCCAUUUACACCAGGGGGAUACCCUGAGUGUCAUAAUCCCCCGGGCAAGGGCGAAACUUAGCCUCUCUCCACAUGGAACCUUCCUGGGGCUUGUGAAACUGUGAUUGUGUUGUAAAAGGUGGUUCUGAGCUUGGAAGACCAGGGUGGGUUCAUUUUGGAGACAGCCAAGAGCUGACUAGACAAAAGACAGGGAACAGUCAGGAACAGAGGCCUCUUCUGGGUUUGACUGGAAUCCCAGGUAUCCUCUGCCUCUCCACUCCACAAGAAGCCUCAUCUUCACUCUCCUCUCUCCAUCUAUUGGGGCCCAGUUUCCAUCACUGACUCCAGAGGUGUAAUUAUUAUGCGCCCGUCUGCAG
RNA transcript from Aethalodelphis obliquidens (Pacific white-sided dolphin), 2094 nucleotides. It is a transcript of the gene named TNF superfamily member 13, with no coding region annotated. The transcript is spliced from 8 exons. NCBI's taxonomy places the organism in Eukaryota, Metazoa, Chordata, Mammalia, Artiodactyla, Delphinidae. The record is from RefSeq and is a predicted model, not a curated record.